CUGUACAUCCACAAGUUUUUUUUACUGGUGCCAUGCUCAGGCCUGUCACUGACACAACUUUCACCAUCAAGGGGAUGCACAGAAUUAUUCGUACAGCUGAGCAAAGAGGAACCUGGUGACAUAUCUCACAUAGGAAGUGUCUCAUCGCUCAGCACAACAAACAUAGUUUGGUCAGCAUGCUGAAACAGCACUCUAAAGCUCCUAUCCCACUGGACAACAAACCCACUAACACCCACUAACAUCUGGCUUUUGUCUUCAGUGUGAAAGGUUACAAUCGAUUUUCAUUCCUGAGAACAAAUGAGUCUGCAGUAGUCACAGGUAUUUAUCCGUUCCAGCUCCAAUCGGCAGUGAUGGAAACAUGACUCCUGAGUGGACACGCUAAUUUUCGCCCCUUCUCUGCACCGCAAUUCUUUGUGA
Molecule: long non-coding RNA, 417 nt
Organism: Sebastes umbrosus (honeycomb rockfish)
Lineage: Eukaryota; Metazoa; Chordata; Actinopteri; Perciformes; Sebastidae
Exons: 3
Source: RefSeq, a predicted model, not a curated record